Molecule: ribosomal RNA, 460 nt
Filed under: uncultured bacterium
Lineage: Bacteria
Description: partial 16S ribosomal RNA
Rfam family: Bacterial small subunit ribosomal RNA
Source: RNAcentral
CCUACGGGAGGCAGCAGUGAGGAAUAUUGGUCAAUGGACGAGAGUCUGAACCAGCCAAGUAGCGUGAAGGAAGACUGCCCUAUGGGUUGUAAACUUCUUUUAUAUGGGAACAAAAUGUUCCACGUGUGGGAUUUUGUAUGUACCCUAUGAAAAAGCAUCGGCUAACUCCGUGCCAGCAGCCGCGGUAAUACGGAGGAUCCGAGCGUUAUCCGGAUUUAUUGGGUUUAAAGGGGGCGUAGGUGGAUUGUUAAGUCAGUUAUGAAAGUUUGGGGCUCAACCCUAGAAUUGCAGUUGAAACUGGCAGUCUUGAGUACAGUAGAGGUGGGCGGAAUUCGUGGUGUAGCGGUGAAAUGCAUAGAUAUCACGAAGAACUCCGAUUGCGAAGGCAGUUCACUGGCCUGCAACUGACGCUGAGGCUCGAAAGUGUGGGUAUCGAACAGGAUUAGAUACCCGGGUAGUC